AGUGUUAGGGUUGGGGCAGUGCUCCUGGUAACAGCGGCAGAGCGAGAGAGAGAGAGAGAGCCCCUCUCUCUCUUACACACACCCACCCACCCAGCUCACACUCGCCCUCUCACACUCACCGGGGCCACGGGCAGGUGCAUCGCGCCCUGAGCCCUGGCACCGGGUGACACACGGACGGACACGGGCACAGAGAGAGAGGGGGGGGAGAGAGAGCAAACCAACCUUACAUGUCACUCACUCUCACUGUGCGCCGUGGAGAAAGGAGAGAAGGAGAGAAUUUAUUAUCAUUUUAUUGUUUUGUUUACCCCCCCCCCCCCCCCCCGUCGCUGCCGUUCUGUUCAUCUCCUACAACACACGCGGCGGCAACAACAACAACAAAAAAUGAUAAGGAAGGAGAGUGUGAAGAGAAAAUGAUCUAAAAAAAGAGAGAGCGAGAGGAGUUGGGUGGAGGAAGGGAAAAUGCCCAGGAGAAAGCAGGAGCAGCCGAAGCGACUGCCCUUUUCGCAUGGAAAUGAAGAAGAAACAGGAGAAGAAUUGGGUGAAGAAGAGGAUUGGUUCGGAAAUGCCUCUGAAACUCCUUCUGAAGUCUCCUAUCUAGAUGCACAAGAGGACCUUAAUGCGUCACCUGGGGAAAAGCAGCAAGAACAAGAAACUUCUCCAGAUAACUCCUUGGGAAGUACAACUCCCAUAAGGAACUCAUUGGAAUUGUUAGUCUCUGAAAAUGAUCAGGUUGGAGACCACUUGGGAAAACAGGAUGCAUUAUCACCCGUUUCAUCAUCAUCAUUGUUACAUGAAAUGGGAUCCCAUGCUUUGCACAAACCAAUGAGUAGCAAUUUGAGACGACUGCUGGAGUCUGGGCCAAUCAGCGGCACCUCUGGUCUGGGAGCUAAGGAAAAAGAAUGUUGUGUAGAUGGUCUUGUUUCGGUUUUGCCUUUGUCACCAUCUUCCCCUCAUGCACUACAACUAAGCGUUCUUGCUAGGAAGUCAGCUGCUAAGCAGGAACAAAGUAAUAAUUUUAGUCCAAGUAACAACUUUAUGUGGGACCAGGAUAUUUGGCUGCAAAGUUCAUCGUCUUGUAGUUUAUCACCUGCUUCAGCCACACAGAAACUUAAAGCAGCUGCAAAUGCAGUUCGCCUGGACAAAAGUCUUUCAAGGGUAGAGGAGCCAAUGAGAUUUAGUCCAUACUCAUCGCCUUACAGCCCUAUACAAAAACAGUCUGCGAGUUCUGCACUGGCUGCUCUCUCGAAGAAAGUUAGUGAAAGAAGCCAGUCUUCUGCUCAAGAUCACAAGCGUCCAGGAAGUUCUUUCCUUUCUCUGGCCUCAAUGACCUCAUCGGCUGCCCUCUUAAAAGAAGUUGCAGCUAGAGCUGCUGGCAAUAUGUUGGUUGAGAGAAAAGAUCAACUGAUCCCAGGAGAUACCUUAAGAUCUAUGGAAGUGAAACAAGAAAAAUUAAUUCCAUCAGCUCCAUUGGAAUUGCUGUUGCCGGCACCGAAGCAGAAGUCUCUGAAGCCUGUCAAUCAAGUUUCAGACGAAGAGGGAGGAAAAUCCUUUCAGUGUCCCAUUUGUGGCUUGGUUAUAAAACGAAAGAGCUACUGGAAACGCCACAUGGUGAUUCACACUGGACUAAAGAGUCACCAGUGUCCUCUCUGCCCAUUCCGUUGUGCACGCAAGGACAAUCUGAAAUCACACAUGAAGGUUCAUCAGCACCAGGACAGAGGGGAAACUUUCCAUUGUGACCUUUGCCCUUUCACCUCGUCUCGUCAUUUCAGUUUAAAACUCCACAUGCGCUGUCAUCAGCACUUUCCCAGAACAGAGGUGAAGGUCAAAGAAGAGAUUACUGACUCUGAGGUCGGAGGGUUAUCUGUUAAUGAGACUGGUGAUAAAAACGAGGAAGCACAACUACUUGGGAAUAAGUUAAAAAUGCAGGACCAUCUUUUGUAUGAAGCAAUGACAGAGAAUGACAAGGAAGCUGCUGUUCCAUUGAAGCCAGUUAAAGAGGAACCCAUUGAUAUGAAUGUCACCAGUAUAUCACUACUAGAUAUUCAUGGGUUUGGCAAAAGACCAGAAGCAAUACAGCAGGGUUCAGCAAAUCCAUCAGAGACAUCUGAUCCAAGAGACAUCCAAAAAGUAUUUCUCUUCAAUCAUGACAUUUCUGCAACAGAUUUUCUUCUGAAUUUAUCAGCUGCAAACCAAAGGGGGCCCUUAAUUCCAAGGAUCAAAGUGAAAGACGAGCCUAAAGAGAGGACAACACCUGAUCCUAUUCCGUCACCACGAUCAGUUAACUUGAUUGGUAAAGAGCCCCCAACUGCUGCUUCAGAGAUGUUCAGCCAGGAUAUGUCUUGUAAGGUGGCAUCAGAGCUCCUGUUUAAACUAUCAGCUGAAAAUAAAAAGGAGCUGGGAACACGGACAGUGAUAAUUAAAGAGGAGCCAAUGGAAUUGGAAAUACCCGACCCCACCGUGUCACGACUUCCUAAUCGUUUGUUUAAUUGCAAGGCAGUAAAAAAUGAACGGUUACAGGAUUCCCCUGAAGUUAUACCUCUCACCGAAAUUAAGCUUUUCACUCAAGACAUAUCAGUGAAGAUGGCAUCAGAGCUUCUUUAUCAACUCUCAGAAAAAGUAAACAAAGCUCAAGAACAAGGAAGGGAGGCAUCAGAGUUGAGUAGCAGCAGUUCUUCUCUAUGUGAAGAAGUAUUUAGACAAUCACCAUUUGCUCCAAACUUGAGGGAUCCUUUAUCUCAUCUCCAUGCAAGACCAUCAUCACAAGAAUCAGGAAAACUAACCAUCGAGUCAGGAGCUCUGAAUCCGCAAUGGAAAUUUUGUGAGCAGCUUUUUCCCUGUAAGGUUUGCGGGAAAGUUUUUGGUCGGCAGCAAACAUUGUCACGGCAUCUUUCGUUGCACACAGAAGAAAGAAGGUACAAGUGUCAUUUGUGUCCGUAUGCUGCCAAGUGCCGAGCAAACUUAAACCAGCAUUUGACAAUCCAUUCAGUGAAGUUAGUCAGUGGAGAUUCUGAGGAAAUAGCUACUGCUGUAACCUCAAACAGUUCUGAUCGUAAGAACAGUCCCUAUUACUACAGCUGCCAUGUUUGUGGAUUUGAGACCGAGGUGAAUCUGCAGUUUGUCAGCCACAUGUCAUUACAUGUAGAUAAGGAGCAGUGGAUGUUUUCAUUGUGCUGCAAUGCCUGCAACUUUUCCUGCAUGGAUGAAACAGAAAUGAAAGCACAUGCAUAUGCAGCACAUGCAGAUGAGAAAGCCCAAACGCCCUCUUGUCAAAGUCCCGCCAGUGAAUCUAAGGCAGCCGCCAUGUUUUCUUCUUCCUCGUCAACGUCUUCGUCAACGUCUUCGUCGUCUUCAUUGAGUUCAUCUUCAGCACUUUGUGAUUCCGUCACUGAAUCUGAAAUCCCCCACUCGGACUUCACCAAUGAAGAGCAAAGCACUUCCUUCAACCCUCCAGUGGCACUCAGUGGGUCGUCUACAUCGGGUUCAGAGGAAAAAACUGAGAAGGGUUUUGAGUGCAUCUUCUGUAACUUUGUGUGCAAAACAAAGAUGAUGUAUGAACGGCAUCUGCAGAUACACCUCAUCACCAGGAUGUAUGAAUGUGACGUCUGUCACAAAUUUUUGAAAACAUCCGAGCAACUAUUGGAACACAAAAAAUGCCAUAAUAUAUCCACCGGAGGACUCAAUCCUUCCAACGUAGACAAACGUCUCAAGGCACUUCCCGGAGGCAGACACAGACAAAAGUGGACAUCAAGCCAACAAAGGAGAUAUUAAGAGUGUUGAACAAAAGCUUGGUCAAACAGAUACUUUGAACCAUGAAGUUACAAUUUCUCUAAAGUGAUGUGGUAUAAAUCGGAUGCACAACUUUGACUUGAUGGUUUACUGUGGCAUUGGUGCCCAUUUUGCGUUUACGCCACAAACCGUCCUUCAGCCAUGGAAUGCCAUUUGAGGACACACUACAAAAUGGAAUUCAAGUGUCGGAUCUGUCAAGUGGUUAAAGCAAACCAACUGGAGCUGGAGAUUCAUAUCCGUGAACAUCGCCUUGGCAAUCACUACAAAUGCGAUCAAUGCGGUUAUCUCUCCAAGACGGCCAACAAGCUGAUCGAGCAUGUGCGUGUCCACACGGGGGAGCGACCUUUCCAUUGUGACCAGUGCAGUUACAGCUGCAAACGCAAAGACAAUCUAAACCUACACAAAAAGUUGAAGCACUCUCCAAGGCAGACUCUGUGCUGCGAAGAAUGUUUCUUCACAACCACACAUCCAUUUGUCUUCAGCCGGCAUGUGAAGAAGCAUCAACAUGGCGAAUAUUUGGAAGGAGAGAGGAAAGUCCUUCCUAUGUCUGGGAAAGAAAGCAACUCCAUAUUUAACUGUGGCAGUCCUAGAAAGCUCCUUUCACCACUUUCAAUUAUGUCAGCAUCACAGGCUUUGCAAACUGUUGCACUGACAGUGACAGGCAAGAAUGGAAUUUCAGCAGGAUCAUUUGGCUUAUUUGGCUUGAAUGGCAUUUCUGCACAUCUCACUAAAUACAGGAACAGUGAUCUCGCCCAUCUUAUUCCACUGACUACACUUUUUCCUCAAAACAAAUGUGAAACUACAUUCCAUUCAUCGCAGCAGCAGACUGCACUCGCAGGUGCUGUUUCCCCCAAAAACUCGUUCCUGGCCUACCUUGGCUUAACUGAACAGACAAACACAAUUUAGGUUUCAGCCACAGAGUGAACCGUGGUCAUUGCUGCAAUAUAAGAUUUUUUUUUUCAUAAUGUUUAUUAUUGUAGAAGAGUAGAAUGCGUAGAAGUGGCUGUAAAUGCUUCUUGUAUUCAUAUAAGUGCUGCUUGAAUUAUAUAUAAAUAUACUUAUGUCCAUAUUUGUAUGGAAACCCAAGUAUUGGAAAGAGGUAGUUGGACUCUGGGCUGUGAAAUGCCCAGUCUAAAAAAAAAAAGUUAUGUGAUGAGGCAGAAUUUUGCACAAUGCUUAGUCUUGCACAUUUUUGCGUUACUUAAAGUAGUACCAUUUUCUACCUAGUGUUACUAGUUUCAAAGCAGCGGUGUGUUGACUAAAUCUGAUCAGCGUGAUAGUGAUAAGCCCCAUUUAUUCUGGCAACAACCAUUAGCACUUUGAAAGAUGCAUGGCAUUGCUGAAUAUUGUUUUCAGCAUUUAUCAUCUCCAAGCUUUAGACUGGCACAUUGACGUUUUUGCAUUCAAUGCAGUAUAAAUGAUCCCUGCACUAUGUUUGGAGUUCAUCUUCAUUCACCCAAUUGAGUUCCAGUAUUUUGAUUUAUUCAAAAUGCAACAUAUUGUUUUCAGUAUUUUGAACAUUGUAGAUUCUGUAUGCGUGUGUGUACUAAUAUAUAUAUAUUUAUAUAUAUAUUAUUGUGUGUAUGUACAUAUAUAAUAUAUAUUUAUAUAUUUUGCUUUGAUUAUGCUUUGCUGCAUUUAAAACAAGUUGUUAAAAGGCUGUUUGUGACAGUGAUUGGCACUUAGAUUUUUUGCUCUAUUUCCUGUUCAGUUGCAUUACUCGUGUAACCUGCAGUAUAUACAAAAUAAAUCGGCAUUAUUUUGGUUUUCUA
RNA transcript from Amblyraja radiata (thorny skate), 5558 nucleotides. It is a transcript of the gene named zinc finger protein 827, with no coding region annotated. NCBI's taxonomy places the organism in Eukaryota, Metazoa, Chordata, Chondrichthyes, Rajiformes, Rajidae. The record is from RefSeq and is a predicted model, not a curated record. The transcript has 16 exons.